This 70-nucleotide transfer RNA is filed under the name Leuctra fusca. Its description in RNAcentral is "tRNA-Asn". The record is from RNAcentral. Lineage: Eukaryota; Metazoa; Arthropoda; Insecta; Plecoptera; Leuctridae.
UCAAUUAAAGCCAAAAAGCGGCAUAUCACUGUUAAUGAUAUUAUUGGGUAAUUUCUUAACCCUAAUUGAG